UGAAGGGGCAGAGAAUUAAGGAAGUCCUGUCCAUCACAGAUUUGUGUGACAACAUCAACACCAGGAGGGAGUGUAUCCUGAAAGGCCUUGUCAUCUACCUCAAUGAAGAUCCAGACACCUUCUUCAAAGACUAUCUGGCGCUUGCGACUGAGGAUGCAGAAAGGGACCUAGCAACCACAGUCAUGGGGAUUUAUGUGAUCCGAAGAGAUGGGGAUCAGGAGCCUGAGGACGUUGGAGUUGUGAUUGAAGGCAUCAAAGUCCUGAAAAACUUGGGCAGUGUCAUCCUGGGCUUUGUCAUGCUUUUUGGGCUCAUUUAUGCCCUUGAUCUGAGUUUUCCAGACAACCUCAAAUACACCUUUUGAGUUUUUCCAGAAGAUCAAAAUGAAUUUGGAUGGGCACAAGCUGAAUGCAAAGAUACAACAGCUGAAAAUCAAGUUGUUUGCAUAAGAUAACACAA
Long non-coding RNA from Etheostoma spectabile (orangethroat darter), 457 nucleotides. RefSeq lists it as uncharacterized. The record is from RefSeq and is a predicted model, not a curated record. Lineage: Eukaryota; Metazoa; Chordata; Actinopteri; Perciformes; Percidae. The transcript has 3 exons.